This 387-nucleotide ribosomal RNA is filed under the name Triticum aestivum (bread wheat). RNAcentral's name for it is "partial small subunit ribosomal RNA". Lineage: Eukaryota; Viridiplantae; Streptophyta; Magnoliopsida; Poales; Poaceae. The record is from RNAcentral.
AUGCGGACAAGUGGUGCUAAUGGUUUCGAUGUGGCUGCUCCUGCUCGUAUCGCCGCCGAGAACUUGCAUAAGGUCUUCAGAAGGCAGGUGUACUACGGAUCUGAAUCGUCAUAUCAGGAAAGCGAUCUGCUGCCGGAUCCGGAGCUUGACUCCAGACUCCCACAACACGAGUUCGACUCCGACUUUUGCGCCAUCGAGAAGUACCAAAAGCUGAGUUGUGUGCACGGGCACACUCCCGCUCGACAUGUAUGCACUGAGGGAUCUAACAUUGGCAGGCAGUUUCUUAGUUGCCCCUUAGAGGGAUAUGAGGCUUGUGCCUUUGUUAACUGGCUGGAUGAAGAGGCAUGGCAGGGCUCAAAGUGUUAUCACCAAGCUCGCAGAAGAUAA